UGAAGGGUAUCACUCCAAACAUUUUGAGUUACGGAAAAUCAAGGCAUAUCAAACUGGUUUCAGCACUGGGGGUAUAUGCUCUGAUCUCAGCCAACAAAAGGUAGAAACGCAAUGAGGACACUAAUGUUCAGAUGCCAGAAAUUAUCCUGCAGGGAAAGUAAGAAUGGCUAACAAUAAGUUUCCAGAAUAUAUUGUCUUCCUGUUUUUUUUAAUCUGCUCUACCAGGUCAUUGUUGAUGGUAGUCACAUUGCGAAAGUCGUAGGAGUGAGAGAUGCAAGUGGCCAAUGUAUUUGUACCAUGCAUCUGGCCAACGUCGUCUUUCCUGCGCCAAGGGUGGAGCAACUGGAGAGUGACUUCUACAACCUGACUAAUCAAUUGCAGGAACAACUGAAUGAGAUUUAUAAUGGCAGAAAUAAUAUGUCUAUUAUUACAACCAACUUAACUGACCUGGCAGCACGCAUAAAGUAUGCAAAGACGUAUGGCACUCACAUUGAUCUGAACUUCGACAAGGUUAUCAAUGACCUUCAAUCAGUGAUAGCAGUGGCACAGGAUAUAAGCAAGAAUGCAACCACAGAUAGCACAAAGAAACUGGUUGACAGCUUGAUUGAACAGGUAAUGGGAUCGUGGUAAUGAAUCCUAAGGGGAUUCUAUCCAGAUUUUAGGUAGUCAUAAGUAGAGAUAUAGAUAAAUGUAUGACGGAUGUAGUUUAUCCUGGGUUUCUAAGAGAAUGACUUCUUGCAUUCAAAACAAGCACAGAGGUGCAUCUACAAUGUAGAAUUAAUGUAGUUUAACACCCCUAAUUGCCAUGUCUUAAUGCUAUGGAAUCAUGGGAGUAGUGGUUUUACAAGGUCUUUAACCUUCUCUGCCAAAGGGUGUCCAUACCACAUCAAACUACAACUCCCAUGAUUCCAUAGCAUUUUUUAAUGUCAGGAGCAACUUGAAAAACUGCAAGUCGCUUCUGGUGUGAGAGAAUUGGCCAUCUGCAAGGACGUUGCCCAGAGGAUGCCCGGAUGUUUUGAUGUUUAUACUAUCCUUGUGGGAGGCUUCUCUCAUGUCCCCUGCAUGGCGCUGGAGCUGAUAGAGGGAGUUCAUCUGAGCUCUCUCCGGGUUGGAUUUGAACCGGCAACCUUUAGGUCAGCAACCCAACCUUCAAGUCAUCAGUCCUGCUGGCACAAAGGUUUAAUCCACUGAGCCACCAAGGGCUCCCAUAGCAUUGAGCAAUGGUAAUUAAAGUGCUUUCAAGCUGCAUUUCUUUUACAGUGUAGAUGCACACCAAAUUCAAUUCCCCCCUCUUUUCUUUCCUGAAACAAUAGACAUUAUCAGGCAAUAAAGUGAUAUUAAAGAAGUUUGGAAAAUAAAUCUGACCUCAGUUCAGCAUGAAUAUUCUUCCCUUACUCUGCUAGUAAGAAGAAAGUCAGGUUCAUAUAUCACAUUUCCCUAAUUAAAGUAUCACCUACUAUCCUUGCUGCAUUUGCUAAGACAUAAACUAUUAGGGAAGCAAUGUGGUGUGAUGGUUGGUGUGUUACAGCAGGACUGUUGGAGGUCAGGGUUCAAUUCACUGCUCAGACAUGUGCAAUUCACUGUGUGAUCUUGGGCAAGCCAUACUUUCUCAUCCUUGGACAAAGGCUUUGGCAAAAACCCCUGCGAAUAAAUGUGACCAAGAAAACUACAGGAUAGUGUAACCAAAAAUUGGUGCAUAACAACAAGACCAUCCUAUCAGGGAAUGACACCAGGUAUGAAUACUCUUUCCAUGAAGCAAAUGAAUGAGGAUCAAAUGAUCAUUGUCAUCAUUUCAUGACAGAUGACCGUUGUUUGAAACACAAUCAUUUGCAAUUGUGCAGAGUACGUCUUAAUGGUCCUCUCAGUACUGGUUAGGUCAAAGCAUAUGGCACUGAAUAGACCUUACACCUGGCUCUGCUUGCAUUGGUGGAUAAUUGCUGCCCCAAAACUUUCCUGUUAUGACGCUACUACAGUGGAGAAACUGCAGGAGAAUAAGUUUCCAAAGCUAGCCAAGUAUUGUAGGUAGGGUGUCCUGAGAGAUUAUUUUGUGUGACCAGUAGUCUACAAAGUCUGCUUGCUUUCAAGUAAAGCGGAAGGUAGAUGGCAGCAAUGGUGGGGCACAUGGUAUUUCUUUCCCACACCAGAGAGAGAUUACCUAAGAAGCAGAGAGAUCACUGCUUCUUGGUCACGAAAUGUUUUGGCAGCAGUAAAAGGUGUCUGAAUACCACACAUUUACACAAAUCUGUUAGCAACCCUGUUCAAUGUUUACAGUGUGCUCUGUCAAAAAUGCUUCAGCUUUACUCCACAGAAAGGAAAACCAGCUUCUUUAGUAAGCCUUGCA
Molecule: long non-coding RNA, 2341 nt
Filed under: Anolis carolinensis (green anole)
Lineage: Eukaryota; Metazoa; Chordata; Lepidosauria; Squamata; Anolidae
Description: lncRNA (ENSACAG00000038224.1)
Source: RNAcentral